AAUUUCGAUCCCUUUCAAAAAUUGUGUGCUUGUUUUCAACUUAGUUUUUAAGAAGUGUGCAGAAUUUGAAUUAAGAUCAACGGUUCAUUCAUUAGUUAUUGAGGUUUAAUUUUGUUAUAGAAAUUACUAGGGUUUUUUUAGGGUUUGGUUUAGGGCUUAGGAUUUGUUUUAGGAUUUAGGAUUUGAUUUAGGAUUUAGGGUUUGUUUAGGGUUUGGUUAGGAUUUGGUUAGAGUUUGGUUAGGAUUUGGUUUAGGAUUUAAGAUUUGAUUUAGGAUAUAGGGUUUGAUUUAGGAAUUAAGAUUUUAUUAGGGUUUGUUUAAGAUUUAAGAUUUAAUUAGUUUUGGCCUAAAGUUUGAAUGAAGUCCAAUAGGAUUUUAACUAAGAUUAAAUUAAGAUUGAAUUGAGAUGUAUUUGAGAGAUAUUUGUGAUCAUUCUAAUAUUUUUUUUAAGAUUUCUUAUUGUUUCUUUGAAAUUUCUUUAAGGUUUCUUUGAAUUUGAUUAAAGCUUGCUUAGCAUUUUUAAGGUCUAAUUAAAGCAUUUUUAGUAUUCUAUUAGAAUUAGGAUUUUGUUGUUGCAAUUUCCAUUCUACCUUCCACAAUCAGGUGCCCGGAGCAUUCUCAAGCAAGACUUCACGUAUUAUGAUACGACACCAAAAGUUAAAUGCAAUGAAAGAAGAGAGGUGUUGUAAUACACACCUAAUGUGUAAUUGAUCCCUGCAUGUGUGCAAGCAAUACCAAUAUAUUCAUGUUCUCUAGAGGCCAAGUUUUCGAAACAAAAGGGAGCACUUCUUUGGGAGUCUCAAAAGAUAUUCCUACAAUUAUUGCACAACUAGGCAUCC
This 839-nucleotide long non-coding RNA is filed under the name Physcomitrium patens. RNAcentral's name for it is "long non-coding RNA (PPAT_LNC005326)". Lineage: Eukaryota; Viridiplantae; Streptophyta; Bryopsida; Funariales; Funariaceae. The record is from RNAcentral.